UUGUACCGGGCACCAGACCCAAAAUACGGGCCCGAUACCAUUAUAAUUUAAUCAAAAUUCAUUUCAAAUUCCUUUAAACAAUUUCAGAAAUAAUUUUCUUUAAAAAAUUUAUUUUUUGGGCUUGGGACCUCGGAAUUCGAUUCCGGGCAUACGCCCAUGUCCCAUAUUUUUCUAUGGGUCCGGAUCCGUUUACAAGAAACGUUGACCGAAGUCAAAUUAAUUAAUUUUACAGUCAAAACUUAUUAUUUUUCAUAGAUUUUCACAUAGAGGCUUUCCGUCUACAUGUCCGGACUGCGCACGCAAAUCGAGGUGAUGCUAAAAGAGGUUUUUAAGGCCUCAGAACACAGAAUUCGUUUUAAAAUAAGUCACAGAUAGGCGCCAUCACGACCGGGUCGGUUUUAGGGUCGUGACAUUAUAGCACAUUUUAAAAGAUUGUGUGCUUUUAUUUAUUUGCAUCGAUAAUUAAUUAUAUUCAAAUUUUAAAUUAGCAUAAAAAGUAUUGAAGUUAUGGUCAAUUACAAUUAAUAACUUAAUAAUUAUCAUAAAUUUGAAUAUCUAAUUAUAUCACAUUUUAAAAAACUAUGUGCUUUUAUCUAGUUGCAUUGAUCAUUAUUGUAUUCAAUUUAAAUAAGAAUAUAAAAAUUUAUUGAUGUUAUGGUCAAUUACAAUUAAUAAAUUAAUAAUUAUCAUAAAUCUAAUUAAAUAUUCUAUUAAUAAUUUCAUAAAAUUGAAAUAGGAGCAUAUGACAAAGCUAAUAAUAUCAUAAUUUUGAUAUAAAAUAGUAUUACUAAAUGUGAGUUUUAGUUAUAAUUAGUUAAUUAACUAUGUAAAUAAAGUCAUCGCUAAACUUUCAGACUUAACCUUUUGUUGAUAGUAAUAAUUAUGUUUUGAUAUUUUCUUUUAUAUAUUGGUCUAUAUGAUACUUGAUAACUGAAUAUCAUUUUUCAUAAAACCCACUUAACUCAUCAAGACAUUUGAAUGCGAAACAAAUACAAAGACUCAAUGGGGAUAAAGGUAAAGGUGUUUAGAGCAGAUAUUUUUUUCCUUUUUAAAUCCCACAUUUUGUCAUUGUCUAUAAUCUUCUUCUUCUUCUUCUUCUUUUUUUUUGGUUAUUUCUUUGUUCCUCUUAAUUGUUUUCAAUGUGUACUUCAUUCUUUAUUCUUUUUCUUAGUUACUUGGGAAGAAAAAAGUUUGAAUCUUUAUGCUCAUUGUUAGAUUGGUAUAUCAUAAGAAAUUAAUUUUCAGUCGAUUAUUUUGACUAAAUAUUUGUUUUUCUUACUUGAAUGAACUCUUGCUAUUUUGUCGGCAUGUUGUUGUUCAUGUUAAUAUUAGGUUUCUUGCCUUAUAUUUCUUCGUUAUGGAUCUAUAAUUUUUCAUUCAUACUUAUUCCUGAAUAUAUAUACAAUCAUUUGUUUUUAUUUCCUGAUGUUGAUUUAUUUUAUUAAAAUUGACAGGCAAAUAUGUGGAAUUAUGGAGUAUCAUUUACCAGCUAUGACUGAUGAUGAUCAAACUAAGGUGCAAUCGAAGACAGUGGCAGAAGAGAAGGGAGAAGAUUGUAUGGCUUUGGGUCUCAAGCAAGAUUUCCAGUACUACAAUUAGUGUCAUAGAAGAAUUAUGCAUUGUAAAUUUCUUAAAGUUUACAUAUAUAAUUAUGUGUUACUUGAAACCUGUUUUAGAAUCUAAAAAUUUUGGAUUCUUAGUUACAUUAUAAUAUUUCUUGUGACUAACGACGCUUGUGGUAAAUUCUCAAAUUUGUAGCAAUACAAUUUUUAUUUUGUAUCUAAUUAUAUACGUAUAUAUAAUUGCCACAUAACAAAAAAUAUGGUU
RNAcentral lists this long non-coding RNA (1827 nucleotides) under Nicotiana tabacum (common tobacco). RNAcentral describes it as "long non-coding RNA (NTAB_LNC012007)". Lineage: Eukaryota; Viridiplantae; Streptophyta; Magnoliopsida; Solanales; Solanaceae. The record is from RNAcentral.